Molecule: long non-coding RNA, 3407 nt
Filed under: Capsicum annuum
Lineage: Eukaryota; Viridiplantae; Streptophyta; Magnoliopsida; Solanales; Solanaceae
Description: long non-coding RNA (CANN_LNC004642)
Source: RNAcentral
UGGCCGUAUACACCAACAACUGACAAGAUUGUUGUAAUCUCUCUGAACACCAUGUGGCAUCCCAAAACCACUUGCAAGUCUGAAUAUGUCAGUGAUCAAAUGAGACUUACCGCUUUCAUCAAGAAAAAGCAUAGAUUGAAUUUCCUAGACUUAUCUUCAUGUUUUAAAAGAUCUUCAUUCAAAUCCUUUAGGGUAGAGUGCUAUCAUUAAAGGUGAGUGAUUUUCAUUUGAAUAGAUCAAUCAACGGACUUGUUAGGAGAAAAAAAAUGUACAUCAUGAUUGCUUCUGAUUUUAGUAAUUCUAAAUCGUCUGUUAUCGGACAUAGUGAAUCCUCUUUCUCUUCACAUCCUGCAGUUCGUAGGCUUUGUCUAAUAAUUUUUUUUAACUUUCAAGUUUGUAUCUGAUAAUUUGUAAAAUUCACACUCUUUGUUGGGGGAUAAAGGAAUAGUGGUGUUGCAAUUUGAUAUUCGUGUUUUUCAUUAUGCUAUAAAAUUGGCUAGCUUUUUUCUAACUUUUUAGUAUUCUUUUAAUUGUUUCUUAAUGACUGAUUUUUUGUUUCAAGGGCAUAAUUAUCAUCAUCAUUCAUAGACUGAAUGAGAACAGACUACUAUUUAUUUUCUUUAUAAUCUUGGAAGGAGGGGAGGGAUAGCUGCUUUUGAAGAAUAGGUUUCUUGGCUAAUGCAAGUUGUUUAGGACUUCUCAUUUUAGUACUGAAUAUAAUACAAUGAUAAUCCAUGAUCUAGCUUAACUAGCUGGAUGGUGAUAUUCUUUUUAUGUUUCAUUUUAGUGGAUGAUAUGCUCAUUCUGUUAGGUAAUUGAACUCAUGCAACUUCGGAGUGUGUGUAGUGGAUUGGGUAGGAAGGGACUGUUAUCCUUCCAUUUGAAGACCUAUUUAGAUUGCUUCGAGGUCAAUGAGCUGAUAUUGUCUUUAGCACUUUCAUGUAGCAACCUCUUUAUCUAUGAUGUGCUUAUUUUCAAGUACGCAACAUAGUGAAUGACUGUUUUUUAUUUUUUUCAUACUGUAUUACCUUGAUCGAGCCUUUCAUCCCGUAAUUAGAUAAACACAUAGGGGUCGUUUGGUAGGGAACAAGUUAUUCUGAGGUCAGCUAUUUCGAAAUUAGUUAUACCACUAUAUAUAUGAGAUAACUUGUUCCAUCACUAACACAUAAAUGAUGGGAUAAAUAAUUCUUUGACUACCUAAUACCUCCAAUCAAACAUGAAAUAAAACAAUUCUACGUUUUAUCCUGAGACUAUCAUAAAUUAAACCUCACAAACGACCCCAUAGUAUAUACCUGUCUAGGUUAAUUCUUAUCUACGUCUUUCAUGACCUUCAACUGUUGAGUUUAUUCAUCUACACUUUGGUUACUGGGUUGUACUAAGGUUAAUCUCACAUUUUUACUUUACGUAAUAGGUCUCAAUCUUAUAGUUAAAGAUCUCACUAAUAAACUUGCUUAGUAGAGAGCUUUCCCUUCAUUAUCUUUCUAAGAAGUUCCUGUGUCGUUACUCUUUUUACGCAUUUCACGACUGAUUCUACUUAUGUGUGUUCUAUUUUAAAUAUUUGGCGUCAAAUCUCUUAGUUUUGUCCAGAUUGUCCACAGGAGGUUCUCUAAUAGGCUGCAUAAUUUCAAUUUCACAAGCUUUCAAAAAAAAAAAAAUUGCUGCUGAAAAAGACUAAUAUCUUGACUAUAAGAGGUAAUUUUUGUGCUUUUAUGACUUUAGUCAUCAUGCAAAAUAUUUGUACUUUUUCCGUGAGUUCAGUUAUAAUGUAAAAUAGUUCUACUUUAUAUUUUAUCGUAUACUAUAAGAUGUGUGCUGUAGGAAUAAAUUAAAUUUUGUGUGUAAAAAAAAAAAAAAAAAAAAAAAAAAGAGUUAAUAACUUAAAUGGUCACUCAAUUUCGAACUUUUAUCCCAAAAAGUCACUUAAUUUUGAACUUUAUUCAGAAAGUCACUAAACUUUACAUGUUUUUACUCAGAAAGUCACCCAACCUAUUUAUUAUUUUUUUAACUAAUUUUUGUUUAUGUGAAAGUUUUUUGUAAUAACAAAAUUCUGAAAAAUAUAAAAUAUCCAUUUAAUGGCCUUUUUACCCUUUCUAUUAUAGUUAAAUGGAUAUUUUAUAUUCUUUACAAUUUUAUUAUUAAAAAAAUUUCACAUAAACAAAAAUUAGUUUAAAAAAUAAUAAAAUGAGUUGGGUGACUUUCUGAGUAAAACAUGUAAAAUUGAGUGACUUUCUGAGUAAAUCUCAAGAUUAAGUGACUUUCUGGGAUAAAAAUCUAAAAUUAAGUAACCGUUUAGGUUAUUAACUCUACAAAAAUUAAAUUGCUUCAUAAUUAAUGUCCAACCAAUAAGGAAAGAUGGAUGACAUCUAAAUUGAACAUACAAGGGUACACACAUAUCUUUGUGCCAACAAUAUUAAAAAAAAUAAUCUUAGGCAUCGUAUUGUCUAUAAAAAAAAAUGUCACCUGAAAAAAAAAAAUGGCACUUCUAGAUCGAUAUUGAGUAGAAUAUGCUUUGAGAAUGUGUACUCUCUUCGAAAGUUCUUACGCCAACCAUUCUAAUUAAAUUUAUCCUUCUUCGGAACCUAAACGCAUAUGUAUUGAAUUUCAAAUGAGAGAGCCUCUCAAGACGCCUAGUUAUCUAUUACUUUCAGCUGGUGUGGGUGGCUUUGAAUAUUGGAAGUUGUAUUAGAAGUUAGUAAAAGUACAUUGGGACUCUUAUGUGCGGAGAAAUGCUAUGGUAAUUAGUUGAAGUUUGUCUUGACGAGUUUUUUUCACACAAAAAAUGAUGUAAUGUGCUGUAAUUCGUGGUUUAGUCAUAAUGUUUGAUAUUUAACCUCCAAUGAAUUAUUAAUUGAUGGGCAAGUUUAUUUUAUAUUAUUUUAAUAACUUUCAAUUUUGAAGUUUCUAUGAAUACAUGCAUAAAAUAUGUUGCAUAUAAAUAUAAGAUCAAAAUUUAAUUAAAUUUCUUUACGAAAGGAUCGAGCAUUUAAGCAGAUCAAUCAACCAAGUGGCUUGCCUCAAUAUCAAGUCCUAUUUUUGCUUCAUUUACCGAAAGAAUUUUUUAUCAACUUUUGAUUGUUUUUCUCAAAAUUUUCUUUUGGGUUAAAUAUUUGUAGGUGUCCAAAGGAGUUCUGAGUGAACAAUAUUAGAGUUCUUAUGCAGCUUCUAUAAUUAUGGUGUUUUCGUGCUUCCUCCUCUUCACGUAAUAAACUCAUACAGAAAAAAAAGUGAUGAAUUUCUUUUCCAAGACUACUUAUAAGAAUCAGAUAACUAUUUUUAUGGUAAAUUUGUAAAUUUUCAUUCGCUUUAUGCUGAACUGUUUUGAGAUUCUGCUUCACAAUGUUUCUUAAUUUACUCCUUGAUAUCUAGUACUUUAAAAUAUUUAUAGUUUGGUCUUUGAUUAAUCAACU